RNAcentral lists this ribosomal RNA (760 nucleotides) under uncultured prokaryote. RNAcentral describes it as "bacterial SSU rRNA". It matches the Rfam family "Bacterial small subunit ribosomal RNA", at positions 708 to 1482 of the family's 1533-position model. The record is from RNAcentral.
UCCGAUUGCGAAGGCAGCUUGCUGGACUGUAACUGACGCUGAGGCACGAAAGCGUGGGGAUCAAACAGGAUNNGAUACCCUGGUAGNCCACGCCGUAAACGAUGAAUGCUAGCUGUUAGCGAUAUACUGUUAGCGGCACAGAGAAAUCGUUAAGCAUUCCACCUGGGGAGUACGCCGGCAACGGUGAAACUCAAAGGAAUUGACGGGGGCCCGCACAAGCGGAGGAACAUGUGGUUUAAUUCGAUGAUACGCGAGGAACCUUACCUGGGCUUAAAUUGCAGUGGAAUAACGUGGAAACAUGUUAGCCUUCGGGCCGCUGUGAAGGUGCUGCAUGGUUGUCGUCAGCUCGUGCCGUGAGGUGUCGGCUUAAGUGCCAUAACGAGCGCAACCCUCAUCGAUAGUUACUAACAGGUUAAGCUGAGGACUCUAUCGAGACUGCCGACGUAAGUCGUGAGGAAGGUGGGGAUGACGUCAAAUCAGCACGGCCCUUACGUCCAGGGCUACACACGUGUUACAAUGGGGGGUACAAAGGGCAGCUACCUGGCGACAGGAUGCUAAUCUCAAAAACCUCUCUCAGUUCGGAUUGGAGUCUGCAACCCGACUCCAUGAAGCUGGAUUCGCUAGUAAUCGCGCAUCAGCCACGGCGCGGUGAAUACGUUCCCGGGCCUUGUACACACCGCCCGUCAAGCCAUGGGAGCCGGGGGGACCUGAAGUAUGCAACCGUAAGGAGCGUCCUAGGGUAAAACUGGUGACUGGGGCU